AAGGAAUAUUGGUCAAUGGACGGAACACUGAACCAGCCAUCCCGCGUGCAGGAUGAAGGCCCUCUGGGUUGUAAACUGCUUUUACCAGGGAAGAAACGUGUAGGCUACCCUACACCUGACGGUACCUGGGGAAUAAGCACCGGCUAACUCCGUGCCAGCAGCCGCGGUAAUACGGAGGGUGCAAGCGUUAUCCGGAAUCACUGGGUUUAAAGGGUGCGUAGGCGGCUUGGUAAGUCAGAGGUGAAAGCUUCCCGCUUAACGGGAGAACUGCCCCUGAUACUGCCAGGCUUGAAUCAGGUUGAGGCAGGCGGAAUGUGGCAUGUAGCGGUGAAAUGCAUAGAUAUGCCAUAGAACACCGAUUGCGAAGGCAGCCUGCCAAGCCUUGAUUGACGCUGAGGCACGAAAGCGUGGGGAGCAAAC
Molecule: ribosomal RNA, 420 nt
Filed under: uncultured bacterium
Lineage: Bacteria
Description: bacterial SSU rRNA
Rfam family: Bacterial small subunit ribosomal RNA
Source: RNAcentral